This 877-nucleotide long non-coding RNA is filed under the name Brassica rapa (field mustard). RNAcentral's name for it is "long non-coding RNA (BRAP_LNC001713)". The stretch from base 230 to 328 matches the Rfam family "mir-156 microRNA precursor family". Lineage: Eukaryota; Viridiplantae; Streptophyta; Magnoliopsida; Brassicales; Brassicaceae. The record is from RNAcentral.
UUGAGUUUUGUAUCCCAUUCUCUCUCUUCCUUCGGCUAUAAAAAGGCCCGGCAGGUCUCAGUUUCUUCCCACAUCCAAAGAUAGAAAGAUGUAAGGUCUAGAGUCUUGCCUUAAUUCCCUAAUAAAACAUAUAAGGUAGCUAGAUUUAUCGGUUAAAUCGCUUGUUUUUGACAAGCUAAUGUUUCAUGACUCAAGUCACAUGCGUAUAAUAUAUCAAAGGUAAGAGGAGGUGACAGAAGAGAGUGAGCACACAUGGUGGCUUUCUUGCAUGCGUUUUUAAUUAGGGUUUUAUGCUUGAAGCUAUGUGUGCUUACUCUCUCUCUGUCACCCCUUCUUUCUCUCUCUAUCUCUCUCUCACACAUGAUAAACCAUAGCUGAUAAAAGAUCUCGAUUUCGUUUGAUUAUCUUUAAGGUUUUGUACUUAUACUAUCAUCAACUGGGUAAGACUAAUUUGAAGCUCGAAAUUUCUCAUUAACAAAAAAUAAUAGUUUGCAACUCUGGUUUUAAUUGCUAAGCUAUUUUUCUCAUUUAUGUGUCAAUUAUUUUGUUUCAUGAGGAUGCAGUUGGACUUAUACAAAGGCCUAUAACUAGGUGCGGCCAAUCAACUAGGGCAUACACUCAAAUAUUACACAAAGAGAGACAGGACUACAGAAAGUUUGAGAACUUGUAUGCCGAAACAAACGAUCCGGACUGAGUUGCAAAAACGACAUCAAAAGUUGUACUUCAUUUCUCAUAAAUAUAGAAAAUUUGAAACAUAAGAAUACAGAAAAUUUGGAUUGAUUAGCUAAGUGAUUAAAGAUGUGAGAUAUAGUUUAUAGCCUGUAUAAUGUCACUGAUAUCUAUAUAAGAAUUAGCGGCAGUCAAAUGUCUUCCCCUA